RNAcentral lists this ribosomal RNA (404 nucleotides) under Fusobacteriota bacterium. Its description in RNAcentral is "Fusobacteria bacterium partial 16S ribosomal RNA". It matches the Rfam family "Bacterial small subunit ribosomal RNA", at positions 355 to 776 of the family's 1533-position model. The record is from RNAcentral. Lineage: Bacteria; Fusobacteriati; Fusobacteriota.
UGGGGAAUAUUGCACAAUGGAGGGAACUCUGAUGCAGCGACGCCGCGUGAGUGAUGAAGGAAUUCGUUUCGUAAAACUCUUUUCUAUGGGAAGAAAAGGACUGUACCAUAGGAGAAAGCUCCGGCUAAAUACGUGCCAGCAGCCGCGGUAAUACUUAUGGAGCGAGCGUUGUCCGGAAUUAUUGGGCGUAAAGGGUGCGCAGGCGGCUUUACAAGUUGGAUGUGAAAUAUUGUGGCUCAACCACAAACGUGCAUCCAAAACUGCGAAGCUUGAGUGAAGGAGAGGUAAGUGGAAUUCCUGGUGUAGCGGUGGAAUGCGUAGAUAUCAGGAGAAAUACAGGUGGCGAAGGCGACUUACUGGACUUAAACUGACGCUCAGGCACGAAAGCGUGGGGAGAAAAAAGG